GAUGAAGAACGCAGCGAAAUGCGAUAAGUAAUGUGAAUUGCAGAAUUCAGUGAAUCAUCGAAUCUUUGAACGCACAUUGCGCCCGCUAGUACUCUAGCGGGCAUGCCUGUUCGAGCGUCAUUUCAACCCUCAAGCCCUGCUUGGUGUUGGGGCCCUACGGCUGCCGUAGGCCCUGAAAGGAAGUGGCGGGCUCGCUACAACUCCGAGCGUAGUAAUUCAUUAUCUCGCUUAGGGUGUUGUGCGGUGCUCCAGCCGUUAAAGACCAUCUUUAACUCAAGGUUGACCUCGGAUCAGGUAGGAAUACCCGCUGAACUUAAGCAUAUCAAUAAGCGGAGGA
Molecule: unclassified non-coding RNA, 337 nt
Filed under: soil metagenome
Description: partial contains 5.8S ribosomal RNA, internal transcribed spacer 2, and large subunit ribosomal RNA
Rfam family: 5.8S ribosomal RNA (bases 1-120)
Source: RNAcentral